AGUGAUACAAGUAUAACAUGCUGUAACACUGUGUGUGUCUACCUGAGACAGGACGGGGAUACGAACCAGAACAAAGGCAGGAAUGUUGGCUGUAGUCCACUUCACAAGAAAGAGAUUUCUAUAUUAAAAGUAUUUCCUCUAUCUAUAAUCUCUAGCAAUGGAUAUUUUAUAAUAACAGAUUUUUCUACUAGGAAAGGCAAACUAUAUUUCAUAUGUGUGCUGUAAUGUUGUUUUACAGUGUUACAAGUCAAAGGGGAACACAGCUUUCACAUACUUCCCUGGGGAAAGGUUUGGGUAGGCAUUGCCUGUCAAUAACUACAGAAUUGUUUUAUGCUCUAGGCAUGUUUCUCCACAUUACAGUAGUUCAUUCUUUGAACAAACAGAGAUGGAAAAUUCAACAAGUAUAAUACUUUAAAGGUGACAUUAAGCCAAACUGGAGUUAGCACUGGUGACUUCUGUGCAUCUACAUUUAGGUUAUCAUCCACUGCUGGUCCAUAAUCAGAAUUCUCCAAAAAUUCAUUAUAGAGAAGUGCCAAAGAAUUGGUCUCUCAACACAGAAAGUCCAAAAUGUGUUCAUUGUCUUCUAUGGAUCACUUCUGUCCUUUAUGCUGAGUGCACAGUAAGAUGAAGUUACUACAGCUGUGACUUCUUCACCUCAUCUGUUUGAGUUCUCUGCCACUCCAAAGCUGUGACUAGCACACAAUCACGGGAGUUUUUGUUUCCACUCAGGGCAGGGCUUUGUCCACAAUGUUUGGACAUAAAAUUUAGCAGAGAAACUGUAUCAGUAGGUGAUAUAAUGAAUGUCUCUACUAGAAUAUAAUUGUUUUCCUCAUUAAUAAGAUACACUUCACAAUAACUCAAAAAUUCUCUAUUAACAGGUAUAUAUCUAAGGGGCUCAGUCUCAGCCUUAUAGUUUGUUUGAGUGUUCUCACACAUCAAACAGAGGUAUCAGCCAUCUUCUUUAAUCACUUCUGUAAUCGUUCCUCCCUGCACCCAGGGAUAAUGGCAUCAGUACCUGGACUCUGGAGCUGGAAAGAUGCAAACAGGCAAGGUGAGAUGCCAGGAACAGGGCCUUGACUGCAAUAACAGGCCUUAAUGGUCCUAAUCAGCCUCACCUGGGGCCUCCACCCACACUCUCUUCCCACGGGGAGGGAAUGAGCAAGCAGGAGCGUGAAGCUUUAAAUGUGGGACAGGCCUGAGACAGCUAAAUCUGAAUAAUUGGCAGCCUACUUGACACACACUAAAAUGAGGAACAAACACUUAUGUCAGAUAUAAAUACUGUGGAAUAUCCAGUGUAAUUUCUUAUUCCUGAAAGGAGGAUAGUCAGUAUGAUCCAUUUUGAAAACUGUUGGCUAAUAAGGGCUGCUGUUCCCUUCGGAAAGGGCUCUGCCAGGAAACCACUGUUGGUACGUUCUGAUAUAUAAUAUUUCUAUAUCAGAACAUAUCAAACUCAAAAGUGACUGCAUGUGUAAAUUCAAAGCAUAAUACAUGGGAAGUGCUGUA
Long non-coding RNA from Empidonax traillii (willow flycatcher), 1503 nucleotides. RefSeq lists it as uncharacterized. NCBI's taxonomy places the organism in Eukaryota, Metazoa, Chordata, Aves, Passeriformes, Tyrannidae. The transcript has 2 exons. The record is from RefSeq and is a predicted model, not a curated record.